UUUUGUAAGGCAAAGAAAUCAAUUUAAAGCUCGAGAGGCCGCGACCUGGGGCGCGCUGGGCCUCGCAGAGCAGCCGCGGACCCCGGCGAUCGUGCCGUGUUCGUCUCCUUUGUGUUUCUUUAUUGAGUCCCUACUACCUCUACGGAUAUUCUGGGGGCAAUUAAAGAAAAUCACCGCUUCAUAGGCAGCACAUAUUUCCCAUAGAAAUGUGGAAUGUAAGAAAGGCACAUAAAGCAAUCCAAGUUGCCUGCAGAUAUCCACAGCCUACUUCAGUCUCAGUAAUGCUCUUUUAACCUGGCUAUAUGGAGAGUUGACAGAAAAUACAGGAUCAUCAAUCAAUGAUACAGUAAAUACGUGCAUCAGUUUAAGGGAAGACAUGAGAUCAUGGGUUUAAGUGAGGCUUCAUCAUGCCAAGACAACGUGAUCACUGGGUAUCUGCAAGACAGGCUACCAGCAGCAAAGUUAUUCCCAACCUAUAUAACUCACAUACACUGGAGGAAAUAUCUUCAUGGAAUUAAAACCACAUGGAGUAACAUUUCACGUAAGCAGAAUUCAGGAAUGAUUUCAGUAAUUCCAUCCCAAACACACACAGGCAAAGGGAGUGAAGAUUUCUUCAGCAACAUGGUGGCAGAAAGAUCAUGAAAAGAUCUAGGCCAGUCCAAGCUCACUGCAGUUAAAUCUUCAGUCUCCAGCACUGCACUUGGGAAAGCGUCAAGGAGUUGAAUGUAUAUGUAAUUGGAGUGCCAGAAGAAGAGAACUGAGAGAGAGGGGCAGAACAGCUCAUGAGGGGGAAAACCCACUACAUACAAACAAGAAUACUGCAGACUCCUCAUCAGAAUCUAGGCUACCUGUAAAGGCUUGUAAAAGCACAGAGCUGCUCUCACCAUGCAGCCAAAGAAGAAAUGAGGAUAUCGGUCCUAUAACUGCAAGGAACUGAAUGCUGCCAACCACCUGAACGGACUUGGGCUACUGAGAAGAAGCUAUUCUAGCAAAGCUGGAGGAAUUCCACCAGACUGACAGAACAACACAAAUAAGUCCAUGCCUGACGCACAGCAGGGGCUCAAGGCAAGUUUGUGGACUCGAAGCCCUGUUAGAAUGGAUGGAAUUUGGUCUUAUGAAGCAGAUAGAAGAACAGGAGCUUGACUGUAAAGAUUUGUCUCCACCUCUUAAUAAAGCAUAUCAUCUCCAGGGAAAAGCUUUGCACAUGGCCAGCAUCAGAAUGUGGAGCAGUCUGCUUGGUUUGCCUGUGGGAUUAGAUAUCACCAGGAACCUGUAGAGUCAGGGAAUGUGAUCCAUUAUCUACUAUAUGGUCAGAAGAUUCUGAAGGCAUGAAGA
Molecule: long non-coding RNA, 1335 nt
Filed under: Homo sapiens (human)
Lineage: Eukaryota; Metazoa; Chordata; Mammalia; Primates; Hominidae
Description: long non-coding RNA NONHSAT184081.1
Source: RNAcentral